Molecule: ribosomal RNA, 459 nt
Filed under: uncultured bacterium
Lineage: Bacteria
Description: partial 16S ribosomal RNA
Rfam family: Bacterial small subunit ribosomal RNA
Source: RNAcentral
CCUACGGGAGGCAACAGUGAGGAAUAUUGGUCAAUGGUCGGGAGACUGAACCAGCCAAGCCGCGUGAGGGAUGAAGGUACAGAGUAUCGUAAACCUCUUUUGUCAGGGAACAAAGGCGGGGACGUGUCCCCGGAUGAGUGUACCUGAAGAAAAAGCAUCGGCUAACUCCGUGCCAGCAGCCGCGGUAAUACGGAGGAUGCGAUCGUUAUCCGGAUUGAUUGGGUGAAAAGGGUGCGCAGGCGGUCUGUUAAGUCAGCGGUCAAAGCCCGGGGCUCAACCCCGGCCCGCCGUUGAAACUGGCAGUCUCGAGUUGGAGAGAAGUAUGCGGAAUGCGCGGGGUAGCGGUGAAAUGCAUAGAUAGCGCGCAGAACUCCGAUUGCGAAGGCAGCAUGCCGGCUACACACUGACGCUGAGGCACGAAAGCGUGGGUAUCGAACAGGAUUAGAUACCCCAGUAGUC